This 296-nucleotide ribosomal RNA is filed under the name uncultured bacterium. Its description in RNAcentral is "partial 16S ribosomal RNA". It matches the Rfam family "Bacterial small subunit ribosomal RNA", at positions 1088 to 1382 of the family's 1533-position model. The record is from RNAcentral.
UCAUACGAGCGCAACCCUUGUCCUUAGUUGCCAACAGGUAAAGCUGGGAACUCUAAGGAGACUGCCGGUGAUAAGCCGGAGGAAGGUGGGGAUGACGUCAAGUCCUCAUGGCCCUUACGGGUAGGGCUACACACGUGCUACAAUGGGCGGUACAAAGGGAAGCGAAAUCGCAGGGUGGAGCGGAUCUUUUUAAAGCCGCUCGUACUCCGGAUUGGAGUCUGCAACUCGACUCCAUGAAGUUGGAAUCGCUAGUAAUCGCGGAUCAAAACGCCGCGGUGAAUACGUUCCCGGGCCUU